UAGGGAAUAUUGCACAAUGGGGGAAACCCUGAUGCAGCGACGCCGCGUGAAGGAAGAAGUAUCUCGGUAUGUAAACUUCUAUCAGCAGGGAAGAAAAUGACGGUACCUGACUAAGAAGCCCCGGCUAACUACGUGCCAGCAGCCGCGGUAAUACGUAGGGGGCAAGCGUUAUCCGGAUUUACUGGGUGUAAAGGGAGCGUAGACGGCUGGAUCAGUCUGAUGUGAAAGCCCGGGGCUCAACCCCGGGACUGCAUUGGAAACUGUCCAGCUAGAGUGCAGGAGAGGUAAGUGGAAUUCCUAGUGUAGCGGUGAAAUGCGUAGAUAUUAGGAGGAACACCGGUGGCGAAGGCGGCUUUCUGGACUGAAACUGACGCUGAGGCACGAAAGCGUGGGGAGCAAACAGG
Molecule: ribosomal RNA, 404 nt
Filed under: Lachnospiraceae bacterium
Lineage: Bacteria; Bacillati; Bacillota; Clostridia; Lachnospirales; Lachnospiraceae
Description: bacterial SSU rRNA
Rfam family: Bacterial small subunit ribosomal RNA
Source: RNAcentral